Molecule: long non-coding RNA, 1034 nt
Organism: Hemiscyllium ocellatum (epaulette shark)
Lineage: Eukaryota; Metazoa; Chordata; Chondrichthyes; Orectolobiformes; Hemiscylliidae
Exons: 4
Source: RefSeq, a predicted model, not a curated record
CUUGAGCUUGAUGUAGUCAGAGAUUGAUGUGAUCUGCGUUACUAACAUGAAGGCUUUUAUUUUACUGAUUGUUUGACUGGUAAACAAGAAUUUUCAUCUGAUCGGUUAAUAAUUAAUGCUGUGUUUAUUAGCUUUGCCUUAAAGAUUGCACAAAUUUCUGUCCUGAAGCCAAGAAAGUCUGACUCGAGGUAAACAGAACAGUUGGGAGUGAGGCAAAGUUUAUAGCAGCCCAAUAGCAAAGAAGGAAAGGACAUCAUACUGCUACAUCACAAUGGACCGCAAAGUUACUGGCAUUAUUAUCUCUCUCUUUCUGCUAUAUCUGAUAACUGCAAAAGAUGUAUCUGCAGGAAGGAUACCUAUAUUAGUGAAUCCACGCUGCCAAUGCAUCAAUAAUACAGCUCGCUUAAUCAAUCGAAAGCUAAUGAGAGAUAUUGAUAUAAUUCCAGCUUCUCCCCAUUGCCCACAUGUAGAAGUGAUAGUCACACUUAAAACUGAGCGAAGAGUUUGUCUGGAUCACGCAGCUUUGUGGGUGAGGAAUCUAAUUAACAAGCUUCUGCAGAAAAACUGAUGGCAUUUUCUGAUGAGGAUGGAUCCGGAAAGGUAUAUCGCAACUUGCAAGAAUCUGAAAAGCAAACUCUCCCAUUCUCUGAACAAUCUUUUCAAAUUUAAGUCAAUCUUCUGUUCUACAAAUUGCUGAUUUUCAUUUUCGCUAACAAGAGAAAAACAGGUUUUGAUUUCUUUUCAGAUGAAGUCUAUAAAACAGUGAAACUGCAUUCGAAUCAGGGAGUUCCAUUAUUUGUACUUAAUUAAACUAUAUCCAGCGCAACUGGAACUUGAUCAGGAAGGACAUUGAAUAUAAAGGAUUGGUAUCUUUACCUAUUUAAUCCAUAUUUGAAAUUUGAACUAUUAAAUUACUUUUGCUGCAAGGUUUUCUCAAUAAGCUCCCCAAAUAGCGCAGACAUGUUUAUUUGUUAGCAUAUGAACUUAUGUGUACUGCUUUCUGCAUUAUUAAUUAAACUGAAAUUACUUUUUGA